This is a long non-coding RNA of Cervus elaphus (red deer), 506 nucleotides long. RefSeq lists it as uncharacterized. Lineage: Eukaryota; Metazoa; Chordata; Mammalia; Artiodactyla; Cervidae. The transcript is spliced from 4 exons. The record is from RefSeq and is a predicted model, not a curated record.
GGGCAGCUCCCAAAGGGGAAGCAGCUUGCUGUUACUGUUUCCUUGCAGUGUGGCACGGGAUGCACGCUUUCUGGAGCCAGACAGAUUUGGGUUUGCACUUGGCAAGCAGUAGCUGCAGAUAUCCACAUGCGAAGUCCUCAACAUACUUCCCAGUGAAAAGCCUUCUCAUGAUAAAGCAGAUCAACACAGUGGCUGUUAGCAGCAGAAAGAUUGGACAGCAGCCCAAGAAGCAAUGGCACUUACUCAAAGGAGCCAGGAGACCUGGGUGACAGUGAGAAGAACACAAGCCCCUCUGAAAUGUCUCAGAAACUUUCAGACCUCAGCAGAGGACAAUAGUGAUGAAGAUGGUGAAUCUUGGAAAGGACUUAGGGGGCAAAGAAUGAGCCAGGCACGGGUUUGUGCCCAACACCAUGUGUCCUGGCUGGAGCAUCCAGGCCAAAGCUUGAUUUGCAUUCAGGCUGCAUCCCUGAUUGGUGAACCUGGACUUGGCUUGUCGUCCUAAUGAG